CACUGUAAUCAAAGUAGAUAUAUCAUAUCCAUAUAAUCAUGCCAUCAAUUAUUGAUACAUAUACAUUGACAUAACAUAUUCAUGCUUAAAAAUUAUAUAAGCAAAUAACGGUGUCUCGAAUAUAGCAAAUUCAUCGAUCUCAAAUUCAAUGAUGCAAAAUCAAUGAUGCAAGAUCAACGAUAAAAUAGCAUAUAUAAUGGUGAUCAUGUACAGAG
RNAcentral lists this long non-coding RNA (215 nucleotides) under Elaeis guineensis (African oil palm). RNAcentral describes it as "long non-coding RNA (EGUI_LNC047103)". The record is from RNAcentral. Lineage: Eukaryota; Viridiplantae; Streptophyta; Magnoliopsida; Arecales; Arecaceae.